Molecule: ribosomal RNA, 1437 nt
Filed under: Ophiocordyceps sp.
Lineage: Eukaryota; Fungi; Ascomycota; Sordariomycetes; Hypocreales; Ophiocordycipitaceae
Description: partial 18S rRNA
Rfam family: Eukaryotic small subunit ribosomal RNA
Source: RNAcentral
CCUUGCUACUUGGAUAACCGUGGUAAUUCUAGAGCUAAUACAUGCCGAAAAUCCCGACUUCGGAAGGGAUGUAUUUAUUAGAUUUAAAAACCAAUGGCCCCCCUCAUUGGGGGCUUCUCUGGUGAUUCAUGAUAACUUCGCGAAUCGCACGGCCUUGCGCCGGCGAUGGUUCAUUCAAAUUUCUUCCCUAUCAACUUUCGAUGUUUGGGUAGUGGCCAAACAUGGUUGCAACGGGUAACGGAGGGUUAGGGCUCGGCCCCGGAGAAGGAGCCUGAGAAACGGCUACUACAUCCAAGGAAGGCAGCAGGCGCGCAAAUUACCCAAUCCCGACACGGGGAGGUAGUGACAAUAAAUACUGAUACAGGGCUCUUUUGGGUCUUGCAAUUGGAAUGAGUACAAUUUAAAUCCCUCGACGAGGAACAAUUGGAGGGCAAGUCUGGUGAGCGUUUGUUGCUGGUGCCAGAGAGAGCCGCCCCUCCGUGUUAAACUUAUGCGGCUAGUCGAGUGCUCGCGUCAGUGGCGGGUGAGCACCGGCGAGACAACCUGGGUCGGGGAAGGCUAAAGGCGGCCCCCCUCCCCCCCUCAAACCUACCCAUCCCCGGCGGGCGCCGGGGGAGAGAGGGGGGGUGAGGAACCUACGCUGAUCCCGAGCAGAGCCGUGCGAGACGACGGGGACGGCCUGUGUAGAGCGCGCCAAGGUGUCGGUCCCAGGGGGGGGGGCGCUUACCCCCCCCCGGGGCUUAAGGUACGUGCCAAUCCCUUGCGAAAGCAGGGCCUUGCGGACGGAGCACCCGUCGUGCGAAGCUGCAGGGGGGGAGGGCUUAACCCCUUAACAUAACGCCCAGCCCCCCCCAAUGGGGGUGGGGGUUCCCUCCCGUGAAGGACAGACAGAGACGGAGGUGGCCAGCAGCCGCGGUAAUUCCAGCUCCAACAGCGUAUAUUAAGGUUGUUGUGGUUAAAAAGCUCGUAGUUGGACCUUGGGCCUGGUCGGCCGGUCCGCCUCACCGCGUGCACUGGUCCCGGCCGGGCCUUUCCCCCUGCGGAACCCCAUGCCCUUCGCUGGGCGUGGCGGGGAAACAGGACUUUUACUUUGAAAAAAUUAGAGUGCUCCAGGCAGGCCUAUGCUCGAAUACAUUAGCACGGAAUAAUGAAAUAGGACGUGCGGUUCUAUUUUGUUGGUUUCUAGGACCGCCGUAAUGAUUAAUAGGGACAGCCGGGGGCAUCAGUAUUCAGUUGUCAGAGGUGAAAUUCUUGGAUUUAUUGAGGACUAGCUACUGCGAAAGCAUUUGCCAAGGAUGUUUUCAUUAAUCAGGAACGAAAGUUGGGGGAUCGAAGACGAUCAGAUACCGUCGUAGUCUCAACCCUAAACUAUGCCGACUAGGGAUCGGACGAUGUCAAUCUAUUCGACUCGUUCGGCACCUUGCGAGAAAUCAAAGU